RNAcentral lists this ribosomal RNA (2887 nucleotides) under Pseudomonas aeruginosa. RNAcentral's name for it is "bacterial LSU rRNA". It matches the Rfam family "Bacterial large subunit ribosomal RNA". The record is from RNAcentral. Lineage: Bacteria; Pseudomonadati; Pseudomonadota; Gammaproteobacteria; Pseudomonadales; Pseudomonadaceae.
CAAGUGAAGAAGCGCAUACGGUGGAUGCCUUGGCAGUCAGAGGCGAUGAAAGACGUGGUAGCCUGCGAAAAGCUUCGGGGAGUCGGCAAACAGACUUUGAUCCGGAGAUCUCUGAAUGGGGGAACCCACCUAGGAUAACCUAGGUAUCUUGUACUGAAUCCAUAGGUGCAAGAGGCGAACCAGGGGAACUGAAACAUCUAAGUACCCUGAGGAAAAGAAAUCAACCGAGAUUCCCUUAGUAGUGGCGAGCGAACGGGGAUUAGCCCUUAAGCUUCAUUGAUUUUAGCGGAACGCUCUGGAAAGUGCGGCCAUAGUGGGUGAUAGCCCCGUACGCGAAAGGAUCUUUGAAGUGAAAUCGAGUAGGACGGAGCACGAGAAACUUUGUCUGAACAUGGGGGGACCAUCCUCCAAGGCUAAAUACUACUGACUGACCGAUAGUGAACCAGUACCGUGAGGGAAAGGCGAAAAGAACCCCGGAGAGGGGAGUGAAAUAGAACCUGAAACCGUAUGCGUACAAGCAGUGGGAGCCUACUUGUUAGGUGACUGCGUACCUUUUGUAUAAUGGGUCAGCGACUUAUAUUCAGUGGCAAGCUUAACCGUAUAGGGUAGGCGUAGCGAAAGCGAGUCUUAAUAGGGCGUUUAGUCGCUGGGUAUAGACCCGAAACCGGGCGAUCUAUCCAUGAGCAGGUUGAAGGUUAGGUAACACUGACUGGAGGACCGAACCCACUCCCGUUGAAAAGGUAGGGGAUGACUUGUGGAUCGGAGUGAAAGGCUAAUCAAGCUCGGAGAUAGCUGGUUCUCCUCGAAAGCUAUUUAGGUAGCGCCUCAUGUAUCACUCUGGGGGGUAGAGCACUGUUUCGGCUAGGGGGUCAUCCCGACUUACCAAACCGAUGCAAACUCCGAAUACCCAGAAGUGCCGAGCAUGGGAGACACACGGCGGGUGCUAACGUCCGUCGUGAAAAGGGAAACAACCCAGACCGCCAGCUAAGGUCCCAAAGUUGUGGUUAAGUGGUAAACGAUGUGGGAAGGCUUAGACAGCUAGGAGGUUGGCUUAGAAGCAGCCACCCUUUAAAGAAAGCGUAAUAGCUCACUAGUCGAGUCGGCCUGCGCGGAAGAUGUAACGGGGCUCAAACCACACACCGAAGCUGCGGGUGUCACGUAAGUGACGCGGUAGAGGAGCGUUCUGUAAGCCUGUGAAGGUGAGUUGAGAAGCUUGCUGGAGGUAUCAGAAGUGCGAAUGCUGACAUGAGUAACGACAAUGGGUGUGAAAAACACCCACGCCGAAAGACCAAGGGUUCCUGCGCAACGUUAAUCGACGCAGGGUUAGUCGGUUCCUAAGGCGAGGCUGAAAAGCGUAGUCGAUGGGAAACAGGUUAAUAUUCCUGUACUUCUGGUUACUGCGAUGGAGGGACGGAGAAGGCUAGGCCAGCUUGGCGUUGGUUGUCCAAGUUUAAGGUGGUAGGCUGAAAUCUUAGGUAAAUCCGGGGUUUCAAGGCCGAGAGCUGAUGACGAGUCGUCUUUUAGAUGACGAAGUGGUUGAUGCCAUGCUUCCAAGAAAAGCUUCUAAGCUUCAGGUAACCAGGAACCGUACCCCAAACCGACACAGGUGGUCGGGUAGAGAAUACCAAGGCGCUUGAGAGAACUCGGGUGAAGGAACUAGGCAAAAUGGCACCGUAACUUCGGGAGAAGGUGCGCCGGCUAGGGUGAAGGAUUUACUCCGUAAGCUCUGGCUGGUCGAAGAUACCAGGCCGCUGCGACUGUUUAUUAAAAACACAGCACUCUGCAAACACGAAAGUGGACGUAUAGGGUGUGACGCCUGCCCGGUGCCGGAAGGUUAAUUGAUGGGGUUAGCGCAAGCGAAGCUCUUGAUCGAAGCCCCGGUAAACGGCGGCCGUAACUAUAACGGUCCUAAGGUAGCGAAAUUCCUUGUCGGGUAAGUUCCGACCUGCACGAAUGGCGUAACGAUGGCGGCGCUGUCUCCACCCGAGACUCAGUGAAAUUGAAAUCGCUGUGAAGAUGCAGUGUAUCCGCGGCUAGACGGAAAGACCCCGUGAACCUUUACUGUAGCUUUGCACUGGACUUUGAGCCUGCUUGUGUAGGAUAGGUGGGAGGCUUUGAAGCGUGGACGCCAGUUCGCGUGGAGCCAUCCUUGAAAUACCACCCUGGCAUGCUUGAGGUUCUAACUCUGGUCCGUAAUCCGGAUCGAGGACAGUGUAUGGUGGGCAGUUUGACUGGGGCGGUCUCCUCCUAAAGAGUAACGGAGGAGUACGAAGGUGCGCUCAGACCGGUCGGAAAUCGGUCGUAGAGUAUAAAGGCAAAAGCGCGCUUGACUGCGAGACAGACACGUCGAGCAGGUACGAAAGUAGGUCUUAGUGAUCCGGUGGUUCUGUAUGGAAGGGCCAUCGCUCAACGGAUAAAAGGUACUCCGGGGAUAACAGGCUGAUACCGCCCAAGAGUUCAUAUCGACGGCGGUGUUUGGCACCUCGAUGUCGGCUCAUCACAUCCUGGGGCUGAAGCCGGUCCCAAGGGUAUGGCUGUUCGCCAUUUAAAGUGGUACGCGAGCUGGGUUUAGAACGUCGUGAGACAGUUCGGUCCCUAUCUGCCGUGGACGUUUGAGAUUUGAGAGGGGCUGCUCCUAGUACGAGAGGACCGGAGUGGACGAACCUCUGGUGUUCCGGUUGUCACGCCAGUGGCAUUGCCGGGUAGCUAUGUUCGGAAAAGAUAACCGCUGAAAGCAUCUAAGCGGGAAACUUGCCUCAAGAUGAGAUCUCACUGGGAACUUGAUUCCCCUGAAGGGCCGUCGAAGACUACGACGUUGAUAGGCUGGGUGUGUAAGCGUUGUGAGGCGUUGAGCUAACCAGUACUAAUUGCCCGUGAGGCUUGACCA